AAACGGGAACCACAGGGAGCAGCUGUGGGGAUGGGUGCACAGGAGGGCCUCGCCCCUCCCAGAGGGGGCAGGUGUGCUCCCUCCUGACUCCAGAUUCUCCGUCUGUUGGCUCUUAAGCACCCGCACAAGUCACCCCUGAGACCAGGCUGGCCCUCUCUCCCUUCCCCAGCAUGCUGCCUGUGACCGGAAGCCCUCCCGCAAGAAUAUCUGAAAGCCUACUGUGUGCUGGCCGAUGCGGGAUGUCUAACGUGAAGCGGCACAUUUCUCAGUUGUACAACUUCUCUCAUCCAAACCAACAAAUGUUAAUGAGCACCUACUAUGUGCCUGAAACAUUCUGUGGACUGGGAAUACAAGCAAACAAAAACAAUAACAAGCAAGCAAACAAAAAAUAAUGCCUUGUGGAACUUACCAUCUACAGGGAAGUAGAUCAUUCACUGUGACAUCCAGGGGCUCAGCUGGUCAGAAGGGCCAUGGAGGCAAAAUUAAGCAGGACAGGGGGUGGGGUGGGAGUGGGAGGAGGGGAUGUGGUGCCUGUGCUGCUGGUUGAUGGUUGGCACUGCAUGGCUGGGGUAAGGGCAGGGUGCUUCACAGAAAAGGUGGCCUUUGCUUGGGCGGGAAGACCAGGCUGGUGACCGGGUAUGUCUGUUUGAGGAACAGCAGAGUCUGUGGCUGGAACAAAGACAUCGUGGAAUGUGAGGGCUAAGAGGGGCCUGAGUUCAGAUCAUUUUGGACCUUGGAGGCCAUUGUGGGGAUCUCAGUGUCCCCUCUGAGUGAUAGGGGAGUCUGUGGAGGGCUGUGGAGAGGUGUGACUGGGGAGCCAUGGAGGGGAGAGACACCAUCAACCAUGAGGUUUGCUACUCAUGGAGUGGUGGUACACCACUGGGCCACACACAUUACCAUGUGCAAGGAACUGAGCUGGAGCUCACACUUCCCACAAGCAGUGAAGCAGGUCUGCAGAUGUUUAUCUUUCUCUCCCUCUCUGUCUCCCCCUCUCCCACCCCCAAUUUCUCAUUGUCCUAUCCUAUAAAAUGGAAAGAAAAGGAAUAAUAAUAAAAAAAAGGUAUGGGGGGACUGGCUGCCAGGAGCAGUGGAUUUGUAUUGCAGGCAUCAAGUACCAGCAAUAAGCCAGUUAAAAAUAAAAAGGUUUGCUACUCAUUAAUGGAAAAUGGACAGGCAAUAAGAAUAACACAGUGAAGACAAAAACUUCAGCAAAGCCUGUAAAGACCUAUGAAAAUCUCAGCUGGAAUUUGGAAUCUACUGACCGUGAAUUUAUAGAAGAAUUUGAGGAUGAGCAACAUCCUUGUGUUAUUGAAUCUUUUCACCCAGGAGCAUGUAGUAUCUCUACAGAUAAACUUUUAUUCUUUCAAUAAAGUUUAUAGUUUUCUC
Long non-coding RNA from Erinaceus europaeus (western European hedgehog), 1386 nucleotides. RefSeq lists it as uncharacterized. NCBI's taxonomy places the organism in Eukaryota, Metazoa, Chordata, Mammalia, Eulipotyphla, Erinaceidae. The record is from RefSeq and is a predicted model, not a curated record. The transcript has 3 exons.